This 90-nucleotide transfer RNA is filed under the name Gammaproteobacteria bacterium. RNAcentral's name for it is "tRNA-Ser". It matches the Rfam family "tRNA". Rfam says of the family: Transfer RNA (tRNA) molecules are approximately 80 nucleotides in length. Their secondary structure includes four short double-helical elements and three loops (D, anti-codon, and T loops). The record is from RNAcentral. Lineage: Bacteria; Pseudomonadati; Pseudomonadota; Gammaproteobacteria.
GGAGAGGUGGCUGAGCGGUUGAAGGCGCAUGCUUGGAAAGCAUGUAUAGGUUAAUCCCUAUCGAGGGUUCGAACCCCUCUCUCUCCUCCA